UAGGGAAUCUUCCACAAUGGACGAAAGUCUGAUGGAGCAACGCCGCGUGAGUGAAGAAGGUUUUCGGAUCGUAAAGCUCUGUUGUUGGUGAAGAAGGAUAGAGGCAGUAACUGGUCUUUAUUUGACGGUAAUCAACCAGAAAGUCACGGCUAACUACGUGCCAGCAGCCGCGGUAAUACGUAGGUGGCAAGCGUUGUCCGGAUUUAUUGGGCGUAAAGCGAGCGCAGGCGGAAUGAUAAGUCUGAUGUGAAAGCCCACGGCUCAACCGUGGAACUGCAUCGGAAACUGUCAUCCUUGAGUGCAGAAGAGGAGAGUGGAACUCCAUGUGUAGCGGUGGAAUGCGUAGAUAUAUGGAAGAACACCAGUGGCGAAGGCGGCUCUCUGGUCUGCAACUGACGCUGAGGCUCGAAAGCAUGGGUAGCGAACAGGAUUAGAUACCCUGGUAGUCCAUGCCGUAAACGAUGAGCGCUAGGUGUUGGGGACUUUCCGGUCCUCAGUGCCGCAGCAAACGCAUUAAGCGCUCCGCCUGGGGAGUACGACCGCAAGGUUGAAAC
RNAcentral lists this ribosomal RNA (554 nucleotides) under uncultured bacterium. RNAcentral's name for it is "partial 16S ribosomal RNA". It matches the Rfam family "Bacterial small subunit ribosomal RNA", at positions 355 to 900 of the family's 1533-position model. The record is from RNAcentral.